AGAAUAAUAGUUUAUUUAAAAUUUUUAAUUUGCAUUUAAAAGAAAUUUAUAUUAAAUUUAUUUUA
RNAcentral lists this transfer RNA (65 nucleotides) under Pseudognaptodon sp. QL-2014. RNAcentral describes it as "tRNA-Ala". Lineage: Eukaryota; Metazoa; Arthropoda; Insecta; Hymenoptera; Braconidae. The record is from RNAcentral.